This 97-nucleotide signal recognition particle RNA is filed under the name bacterium. RNAcentral describes it as "signal recognition particle sRNA small type". It matches the Rfam family "Bacterial small signal recognition particle RNA". Rfam says of the family: The signal recognition particle (SRP) is a universally conserved ribonucleoprotein involved in the co-translational targeting of proteins to membranes. Archaeal SRP consists of a 7S RNA and homologues of the eukaryotic SRP19 and SRP54 proteins. The record is from RNAcentral.
CGGUAUGCAUCGGACGACGACACAGUCCGAACCUGGUCAGGUCCUGACGGAAGCAGCCAUAAGGACGCUCGGUCGUGUGUUCGUUUGCGUACCGGGA